CUACGGGUUGCUGCAGUGGGGAAUAUUGGACAAUGGGGGAAACCCUGAUCCAGCAAUGCCGCGUGUGUGAAGAAGGCCUGCGGGUUGUAAAGCACUUUCGGUUGGGAGGACUGCUUCUAGCACUAAUAUUGUUGGAAGUUGACGUUACCUUCAGAAGAAGCACCGGCUAACUCCGUGCCAGCAGCCGCGGUAAUACGGAGGGUGCAGGCGUUAAUCCGAAUUACUGGGCGUAAAGCGCGCGUAGGCGGCUAGAUCAGUCGGGUGUGAAAGCCCCGGGCUUAACCUGGGACCUGCAUCCGAUACUGUCUAGCUUGAGUACAGGAGAGGAGAGUGGAAUUCCACAUGUAGCGGUGAAAUGCGUAGAUAUGUGGAGGAACACGAAUGGCGAAGGCAGCUCUCUGGCCUGAUACUGACGCUGAGGUGCGAAAGCGUGGGGAGCAAACAGGAUUAGAUACCUCGUAGUC
RNAcentral lists this ribosomal RNA (464 nucleotides) under uncultured bacterium. RNAcentral describes it as "partial 16S ribosomal RNA". It matches the Rfam family "Bacterial small subunit ribosomal RNA", at positions 339 to 795 of the family's 1533-position model. The record is from RNAcentral.